This 402-nucleotide ribosomal RNA is filed under the name uncultured bacterium. RNAcentral describes it as "bacterial SSU rRNA". It matches the Rfam family "Bacterial small subunit ribosomal RNA", at positions 355 to 774 of the family's 1533-position model. The record is from RNAcentral.
UCGGGAAUUUUGGGCAAUGGGCGAAAGCCUGACCCAGCAACGCCGCGUGAGGGAUGAAGUAUUUCGGUAUGUAAACCUCGAAAGAAUGGGAAGAAUAAAUGACGGUACCAUUUAUAAGCUCCGGCUAACUACGUGCCAGCAGCCGCGGUAAUACGUAGGACCCAAGCGUUGUCCGGAUUUACUGGGUGUAAAGGGUGCGCAGGCGGAUGGGUAAGUCAGGGGUGAAAGUCUGCAGCUUAACUGUAGAAUUGCCUUUGAUACUGCUCAUCUUGAGUGUGGGAGAGGUUGAUGGAAUUCCAGGUGUAGCAGUGAAAUGCGUAGAUAUCUGGAAGAACACCAGUGGCGAAGGCGGUCAACUGGCCCAUAACUGACGCUCAUGCACGAAAGCGUGGGGAGCAAACA